RNAcentral lists this long non-coding RNA (918 nucleotides) under Homo sapiens (human). Its description in RNAcentral is "ST7 antisense RNA 2". Lineage: Eukaryota; Metazoa; Chordata; Mammalia; Primates; Hominidae. The record is from RNAcentral.
GUGAAGACAGGCAGAGACUGGGGUAAUGCAGCUACAAGGGAAUGUCAGAGAUUGCUAGCAAACACCAGAAGCUGGAAGAGGCAAUUAAGGAUUGCUCCCUAGAGCUUUUAGAGGGAGGACGGCUCUGCCACCUGCCUUGUUCUUGGACUCCUAGCCUCCAGAAUUAGGUCACCUGUUGGGCAAUAUCACCAUAGACUGAAUACAGAAGCAGAUAUUAGCCUCCAGCCUCCUGCUCAUCUGGACACUAGAGAGAGUGGAUAUUCUAAAAGCAGAAAUCUUGACACUUAAGCCAAAAAGCCCUCCCAUUCAGAAGGAUGUAUGGAUUUUUCAUACUUGCAUCUGCGGGACGCAGAUGGUCCGAGUCACAAGUAAAGAAUGUCUGGUGGUCUUGGGCAGAGAGAUUCAUGUCAUAAGGAAUCACUAACACCUUGACUCCAGAUCAUGGCUUGAAACACACUGGAAUGGGAUUUUGCAUAAAAGAAGAAAGCUCAGGAAUGAUAAAUUUACACACCAUGGAUCUAGAAGGGAGUCUAUAACCCCAGAAUCACCAUUAUUUUGGGUGAUCCAUAUGGCUAUCAAUUAAAGUGCUACCUGAGUGCUGUUCAACUUCUUGAGAUGGAUGAAAAAGGAAUGAAAGGAGACAUAGCAAUCUUCAACUCCGCUCCUUUACUUUUGAAUAAGAGGUGAUGGAAGGCAAGGUCAGAGAGAUCUGGGUUCAAAUCUCAUGAUUUAACUGCUAUAUAACCUUGGCCAAAUUAUUUAAACUUUGUGUCUGUUUUUACUUAGCAAUAUAAAGACACUGGUCAUACCCACCACUCAGAAUUUCAAUCAGAACUAAAUGAAAUAAUAUAUGCAAAGUGCUUAAUAUAGUACACCUGGCAUGGAGUGGUAACUCAAUAAAUAGAUCUUUUGUUAUAA